GGAAUCUUCCACAAUGGGCGCAAGCCUGAUGGAGCAACACCGCGUGAGUGAAGAAGGGUUUCGGCUCGUAAAACUCUGUUGUUAAAGAAGAACAUAUCUGAGAGUAACUGUUCAGGUAUUGACGGUAUUUAACCAGAAAGCCACGGCUAACUACGUGCCAG
RNAcentral lists this ribosomal RNA (161 nucleotides) under uncultured bacterium. Its description in RNAcentral is "partial 16S ribosomal RNA". It matches the Rfam family "Bacterial small subunit ribosomal RNA", at positions 358 to 511 of the family's 1533-position model. The record is from RNAcentral.